This 453-nucleotide ribosomal RNA is filed under the name uncultured bacterium. RNAcentral describes it as "bacterial SSU rRNA". It matches the Rfam family "Bacterial small subunit ribosomal RNA", at positions 340 to 786 of the family's 1533-position model. The record is from RNAcentral.
UACGGAAGGCAGCAGUGGGGAAUAUUGCACAAUGGGCGCAAGCCUGAUGCAGCCAUGCCGCGUGUAUGAAGAAGGCCUUCGGGUUGUAAAGUACUUUCAGUCGUGAGGAAGGUGUUAAGGUUAAUAACCUUAGCAAUUGACGUUAGCGACAGAAGAAGCACCGGCUAACUCCGUGCCAGCAGCCGCGGUAAUACGGAGGGUGCGAGCGUUAAUCGGAAUUACUGGGCGUAAAGGGCACGCAGGCGGUUAAUUAAGUUGGAUGUGAAAUCCCCGGGCUUAACCUGGGAAUGGCAUUCAAGACUGGUUAGCUAGAGUCUUGUAGAGGGGGUAGAAUUCCAUGUGUAGCGGUGAAAUGCGUAGAGAUGUGGAGGAAUACCGGUGGCGAAGGCGGCCCCUGGACAAAGACUGACGCUCAUGUGCGAAAGCUGGGGGAGCAAACAGGGAUUAGAUACC